This 679-nucleotide long non-coding RNA is filed under the name Hordeum vulgare. RNAcentral describes it as "long non-coding RNA (HVUL_LNC006331)". Lineage: Eukaryota; Viridiplantae; Streptophyta; Magnoliopsida; Poales; Poaceae. The record is from RNAcentral.
CAUCGUGAGAGUACUACCACGGGAGCAUGUAAAUUAUAUGUACUACAGAUCGCCCAGAGGAUUGCUUUUCCAUCAUUAGACAACAUACAUUACCUUUAGAACACUUAUAGGAUUUAGAGGCAUCGGGACAUCAUAUGGGGAGAAACUACGAUAGUCACUCUCUGCCAUGAGCAAGAUAUGCCAAAAAAGUUUUACAAUGAGUACAAUCUGUAUGCACCAAACAAAAUACAGCAAAUACGAGUGGAUCCAUGCCUGCUUAUUCUUCUUCCUCCUUCUCCUUCCCCUGUUUCCAGAUUCCCUCGACAGUUAUUGGCGUUGGAUCUCCCUUGCUGCCAUUCAUAUGACAAAUGCAAAAAUGGGCCAGUAGAAAAUACACUGUUGCCCCUAAGACUUUGAAUAACUUUAGAGUACAGCAGUGAAAAUAUAAUUAACGGAGAUCGAAUUGCACGAAAGCUGGCAGCGAAAAUCAGAAAUAUUUGAGUAUCCACCCUCGCAUUGGUGACGAAUAAGGAUUAUUUUUUUAACCGAGCUACAAAGGAAGUGUAUCCAUUUAAUAAUUAAUAACAAAAGAAUUACAUAGUUAAUUACCGAAAACAAGGCGGAAAUCAUUACAACUGGCCCACACGAAGCAUGCAUCAAGGAUGACCUAGCUAUUCACAAGACACACACACAACAAAGG